UGAUUCUGCAGUUGAACAGGUUCAGGAUGACGAAACGUUACACAGUGCAAAAGGUGGAGACGCCAGUGGACAUCACACCUGAGCUGCAGAUAAACUGCUUUCCUCAGUCAGACACGCCCGGAAUAGGGUGGAUCAACCUCUACCUAUCGACUGAUCAGUGUCCUCAACCACAUUGGAAGGACAGCAUGCUUUGGACAUUAUGUGAGUGACUGUUCCAGUCACAAUUCUCACCAGUGGAAGAUCUAUGACGAUGAGCUGGUCAGGCUGACCAGCGAGACGGACGUGUUAGAGAGGAGGUCGACCAGCGCCUAUGUGCUCCUCUAUGAGAGAGUGAGCACUGGCUGAAGCCCUUCCUCUUCUCCAGAAAGCUGCGAGAAGAUGGAUUUGUGAUGAGAGGUGUCAGGGCAAGUGAGAGUGGUGAUGGCAUAGGGGCACACAGGGUAAGACUAUAGAGUAUUUUGGUAAGUAUCUCUUGCGACGACCCUUUUGGUCUAGUGGACCUUGGAGGCAGAUCACGUUAAUAAAGCUCCACUAGUGUUGCAGGUGUCUGUUGCAGCCAGACUAUCUGCACCUGUGUGUUCGGCCCCUUGGACCGGUGAGCGGCUCGAUAACUGCACAGUAGCAAUCCAGGAAGUGAUCCUGAACUCUAGAGCCGAUAGUACGCAGGCCAUGUAUGCGCUAAAGUGCUAGCCUUUUUGCAGGGACUGCCAUAUAGUGGUAAAUCACCAUCUGUGCUGAAAAUGUAUGUGGCAGCCAUUUUGGCCUGACUGCAGCACACAGGAUAACAUCUAGUUGGGAGCACAUAGGUUUAUAACAGUGUUGUGAGCUAAGGAGCUAAGCACCUCCAUUUGCCUAACCCCUCCAAGAGCCAGCGUGUGAUCUUGCCAUCUUGUUGGAGGGUACAGGAUGCUGAUCUGAAAUUCAUAAGCGUAGAAUACUUUUUCCUUGCCAUCACCUGAGCAAAAAAAAAGUGGAAGAACUGCAUGCCUUGGUGAGAAGAUCACCCUGCAUGCUCUUUUGGCGAGAUGAUUAUGGAGUGACAUUCGUGGCUGAACCCAGGGUUCCUGCUUAAGGUUGUAUCUUAGACACUGUACUGUAGAACUGUACCUAAACACUUCUGCUGUAAACAUAAACACCCUCAGGUUCAUAAAGAACAUUUUUCCAACGCCCUCAAUACUGUUCGUCUAUAGUACAUUUAGGAUUUAGGAAGAGUAAUGAUUUAUAAUCUCACUAUCCUGUGUGCCCCAGAAGAGGAUGGGUUCCCUUUGAGCCUGGCUCCUCUCAAGGUUUCUUCCUCGUCAUCUGAGGGAGUUAUUCCUCGCCUCUGGCUUGCUCAAUAGGGAUUUAAAUGUAUAUCCAGAGUUCUGGCAAGCUACACCACUGUCAUUUUAUGAUGGCAUGCAUGCGCUAGCACACUACUCGGGUAUUAGACACCACCCCUGGCGUUUAUCCAAUCUUCCCAGCAAGCUCAAGAUCUAUCACCAGUAAUUUCGAUUUAAUUUCAAUGUCUGCAGCUUUAAAAAUAAAUUACAUUCUCAAAUCUUGCAA
Ictalurus punctatus (channel catfish) is the source of this 1548-nucleotide long non-coding RNA. NCBI's taxonomy places the organism in Eukaryota, Metazoa, Chordata, Actinopteri, Siluriformes, Ictaluridae. The record is from Ensembl.